UGGGGAAUAUUGGACAAUGGGCGAAAGCCUGAUCCAGCCAUGCCGCGUGUGUGAAGAAGGUCUUCGGAUUGUAAAGCACUUUAAGUUGGCAGGAAGGGCAUUAACCUAAUACGUUAGUGUUUUGACGUUACCGACAGAAUAAGCACCGGCUAACUCUGUGCCAGCAGCCGCGGUAAUACAGAGGGUGCAAGCGUUAAUCGGAAUUACUGGGCGUAAAGCGCGCGUAGGUGGUUUGUUAAGUUGGAUGUGAAAUCCCCGGGCUCAACCUGGGAACUGCAUUCAAAACUGACUGACUAGAGUAUGGUAGAGGGUGGUGGAAUUUCCUGUGUAGCGGUGAAAUGCGUAGAUAUAGGAAGGAACACCAGUGGCGAAGGCGACCACCUGGACUAAUACUGACACUGAGGUGCGAAAGCGUGGGGAGCAAACA
This 427-nucleotide ribosomal RNA is filed under the name uncultured bacterium. RNAcentral describes it as "partial 16S ribosomal RNA". It matches the Rfam family "Bacterial small subunit ribosomal RNA", at positions 355 to 774 of the family's 1533-position model. The record is from RNAcentral.